CCUACGGGGGGCUGCAGUAAGGAAUAUUGGUCAAUGGACGCAAGUCUGAACCAGCCAUGCCGCGUGGAGGAUGAAGGUCCUCUGGAUUGUAAACUUCUUUUAUCUGGGACGAAACACUCCUAUUCUUAGGGGCCUGACGGUACCAGAUGAAUAAGCACCGGCUCACUCCGUGCCAGCAGCCGCGGUAAUACGGAGGGUGCAAGCGUCAUCCGGAUUCACGGGGGUGUAGGGGGGUGUAGAAGUCUGUAGAGAAAUCCCCGAGCUUAACUUGGAAACUGCCGUUGAUACUAUACAGCUUGAGUAUCGUAGAGGUAAGCGGAAUAUGUCAUGUAGCGGUGAAAUGCUUAGAGAUGACAUAGAACACCAAUUGCGAAGGCAGCUUGCUAUGCGAUUAUUGACACUGAGGCACGAAAGCGUGGGUAGCAAACAGGAUUAGAUACCCCUGUAGUC
This 450-nucleotide ribosomal RNA is filed under the name uncultured bacterium. Its description in RNAcentral is "partial 16S ribosomal RNA". It matches the Rfam family "Bacterial small subunit ribosomal RNA", at positions 338 to 795 of the family's 1533-position model. The record is from RNAcentral.